Molecule: ribosomal RNA, 253 nt
Filed under: uncultured bacterium
Lineage: Bacteria
Description: partial 16S ribosomal RNA
Rfam family: Bacterial small subunit ribosomal RNA
Source: RNAcentral
UACGUAGGUGGCAAGCGUUGUCCGGAUUUACUGGGUGUAAAGGGCGUGUAGCCGGGUUGACAAGUCAGAUGUGAAAUCCUGCGGCUUAACCGCAGAACUGCAUUUGAAACUGUUGAUCUUGAGUACUGGAGAGGCAGACGGAAUUCCUAGUGUAGCGGUGAAAUGCGUAGAUAUACGGAGGAACACCAGUGGCGAAGGCGGAUUGCUGGACAGUAACUGACGCUGAGGCGCGAAAGCGUGGGGAGCAAACAGG